GACGAACGCUGGCGGCGUGCUUAACACAUGCAAGUCGAACGGAAAGGCCCUGCUUUUGUGGGGUGCUCGAGUGGCGAACGGGUGAGUAACACGUGAGUAACCUUCCCUUGACUUUGGGAUAACUUCAGGUAACUGGGGCUAAUACCGGAUAGGAGCUCCUGCUGCAUGGUGGGGGUUGGAAAGUUUCGGCGGUUGGGGAUGGACUCGCGGCUUAUCAGCUUGUUGGUGGGGUAGUGGCCUACCAAGGCUUUGACGGGUAGCCGGCCUGAGAGGGUGACCGGCCACAUUGGGACUGAGAUACGGCCCAGACUCCUACGGGAGGCAGCAGUGGGGAAUAUUGCACAAUGGGCGGAAGCCUGAUGCAGCAACGCCGCGUGCGGGAUGACGGCCUUCGGGUUGUAAACCGCUUUCGCCUGUGACGAAGCGUGAGUGACGGUAAUGGGUAAAGAAGCACCGGCUAACUACGUG
RNAcentral lists this ribosomal RNA (468 nucleotides) under uncultured bacterium. RNAcentral's name for it is "partial 16S ribosomal RNA". It matches the Rfam family "Bacterial small subunit ribosomal RNA", at positions 28 to 507 of the family's 1533-position model. The record is from RNAcentral.